RNAcentral lists this ribosomal RNA (194 nucleotides) under Labrocarpon sp. RNAcentral's name for it is "partial large subunit ribosomal RNA". It matches the Rfam family "Eukaryotic large subunit ribosomal RNA", at positions 82 to 279 of the family's 3401-position model. The record is from RNAcentral. Lineage: Eukaryota; Fungi; Ascomycota; Dothideomycetes; Asterinales; Stictographaceae.
AGUAACGGCGAGUGAAGCGGCAACAGCUCAAAUUUGAAAUCUGGCACCCGCCCGAGUUGUAAUUUGCAGAGGAGGCUUUGGAGUCGCCCCGGUCCAAGUUCCUUGGAACAGGACGUCGCAGAGGGUGAGAAUCCCGUACGUGGCCGGAUGGCUUCUCCGUAUAAAGCCCCUUCGACGAGUCGAGUUGUUUGGGA